GGCUCAGCCGGUGCUAAUCUCCUUCUCCGAUCACGAGUCACCCAGCGUGUGACCCUUGUGGCCUGCCUGCCCCACUUCUGUUGGGAGCCUGUCCCUCCCACCGGGACCUGGCAUCUCGGAAGCCUCCCCUGUCCUUGGGAGGCAGCAGAGUGUAUGUAGCCAUGAGAUGGUAGGUUUGUUCAUUGGGAGACCUUGGUUCUGGCCCCUCCUUUGCCACUAACUUCCUGUGUGACCUUGGGCAAUCGCGUCCCCUCCCAAGUCCCCGGAUUCUACAGGUUUGAUGAGGUCUCUCCGAGCUCUAACAGCCCCCAGGAGCGUGGGAGGACACCACAGGAUGUGUGGUGUGUGACUCUUCAUGGAGGAUCCUGCCCACAGGCGGGCGUGGCCUUCAUCCCAUUCUCUUCAAUAAUACGGUCUGUCCUGUUUUGACAACUGCUGGCCUUUCCCCCUCACACCUCUUGAGCUUGAAUUUCUGGCUCCUGGGUUUGAGUGGGAGGAAGGAGGAAGUGACAUAUCCAGUGAUUUUCUAAGCACUUCUCUGUGGGUGAGACCAAGGGAAAGAAAAGGAAGGUUUGGAAGCCUGUCCCACCCACAGUCACUGCCUGGGACAGAGUCACUGCGGGACAUGGCCUUCCCUCGGGGGGCUGACGGCAGGAUAUGCCCAGCCCCCUGCAGGCCCCACAGAAGAGCUUGUAGACUGCUCGCGCAAGACUGCAUCCACCCAACAGCUCCUUUCCGGUUUCCCACCACACCUCCUGCCAAAAGAAGCCCCAGGAUCCCUGUCUCUGCCAACCCUAAAAUGUCUCCUUUAGUUCCAGGUUCUAAACUGGGAUUUCUUUCCCCUCCUUGUGAAAUGGAGGUGAGAUGGAGGUUGAUAAAGCUGAGCUAGCCAGUGGCUUGGGAUGCUUUCCUCACUUCAUCCACUCAUUCAUUCAUUCAUUCAAUAUUUAGGGAUUCAAAGAGGAAAUUAGUCAGGCCCUGGCAAACUUCAGUUUGGCAACUGGUAAUUUGAGGAGAGCUAAUUAAAGAGACUUCAAAAGUGGACAGAGUGUAGGAAAACAAAGGAUGGUGUAGUACCCUGGAGCUAGUACCAUCAGGAAGAUAUUAUCAACCCUAGGCUGAAGGCAUAAAAGGAGAGAAAAUUCCCAGAAGGAGGGAGCCACGUGGAGAGGGCCCCCUGGCAGGAGCUGUCUGUGACCUUUGGUUGAAGGACUCAUCUAGCUGGUGCAAUGAAAACCUUGACCUCCCUCACUUCCUUCUGUUGGCUGAUCCCCGUUGAUGGAGUUGGGAUGAGUCAGCCUCUUGGGGCUCCCAGCAGGGCAGAGAAGAGCAGAGUGGGGAUUUGGAAGCACAAAGACUCCCUGCACAGAAAUCAGACACAGCCUCUGUCCUCAAGGAGCUUGCGUAUGAGAAGGGGAAACAGAAGUGCCAAAGUAAUUUACAGUGUGAUAAAUGCUUUAGUAAAGACAUGAACAAAGGACAAGAGGAUCCCAGUGUUAGGAAAUGAAAUCUGCCAGGAAGGGUGUUAAUGUGUGUGAAGGUUGGAGGAGGCUGGUUCCUGGAAAGGGGAUGCAGAGGAGUUGCUUCUCAAGUGAUGAGCAAGCUUCUUGGAGGAAGUAAGGUCUGAACGGAGACCUGAAAUAUGAAUAAGAAUUAGCCAGAGAAGGAGAGAAAGAAAAGGAGUCCAGGCAGCGUGAAAAAUAUGCAUAAAAGCUGGAGGCAGAAGGAGAGUGAAGUGCUCUUUGGGAAACUCCCAGAAGCCGCUGGCCUCUGCGUGGAACUGCGGCAACAAAACCGUGCUGAUCUUUGCUCGUGACUAGAAGACACUCAGUUCUAAAAACCAUAAAAAUUACUCCAGUCGGUUGCUGUGGAGUAUCUGACAUGCUUGGAGAAGGCACAUGGUGCAGUAUGAGGGUUCCUUGGCUCUCCUAACCCCAAGUACUUGUCCUAUUUGAUGAGAGAGUAGUCCGGGGGCCUGCUAGGAGCUCCCUUUCUUCUAGCGCAGUGCGGAAACGUGGAAGAUAAACAAACAGG
Molecule: non-coding RNA, 2034 nt
Organism: Vicugna pacos (alpaca)
Lineage: Eukaryota; Metazoa; Chordata; Mammalia; Artiodactyla; Camelidae
Source: RefSeq, a predicted model, not a curated record